UGGGCCCUACGGGAGGCAGCAGUGAGGAAUAUUGGUCAAUGGUCGGGAGACUGAACCAGCCACGCCGCGUGAGGGAUGAAGGUACAGAGUAUCGUAAACCUCUUUUGUCAGGGAACAAAGGCGGGGACGCGUCCCCGGAUGAGUGUACCUGAAGAAAAAGCAUCGGCUAACUCCGUGGCAGCAGCCGCGGUAAUACGGAGGAUGCGAGCGUUAUCCGGAUUUAUUGGGUUUAAAGGGGGCGCAGGCGGUCUGUUAAGUCAGCGGUCAAAGCCCGGGGCUGAACC
RNAcentral lists this ribosomal RNA (284 nucleotides) under uncultured bacterium. Its description in RNAcentral is "partial 16S ribosomal RNA". It matches the Rfam family "Bacterial small subunit ribosomal RNA", at positions 332 to 614 of the family's 1533-position model. The record is from RNAcentral.